GCAAACUUGGUCAUUUAGAGGAAGUAAAAGUCGUAACAAGGUUUCCGUAGGUGAACCUGCGGAAGGAUCAUUAUUGAAUAAACCUGCGUGGGUUGUUGCUGGCCUCUUCGGAGGUAUGUGCACGCCUGCCAUCGUUUCAUUCAUCCCUUCCACCUGUGCACUCUCUGUAGGCUGUGCCAUUGCUUUUCGGGUUCCAUCCCGGUAUGAGGAGUUGCUGCUCUCUGGCUUUCCUUGGAUGGUCGCGGUCUAUGUCUUCAUCAACUCAUCGUAUGUAACGGAAUGUAUGAUCUGGGCUUGUACUGCCCAAAACCCCUAUACAACUUUCAACAACGGAUCUCUUGGCUCUCGCAUCGAUGAAGAACGCAGC
RNAcentral lists this unclassified non-coding RNA (367 nucleotides) under uncultured fungus. RNAcentral's name for it is "partial contains small subunit ribosomal RNA, internal transcribed spacer 1, and 5.8S ribosomal RNA". The stretch from base 1 to 73 matches the Rfam family "Eukaryotic small subunit ribosomal RNA", at positions 1759 to 1831 of the family's 1831-position model. Lineage: Eukaryota; Fungi. The record is from RNAcentral.